AAGUCGUAACAAGGUUUCCGUAGGUGAACUUGCGGAAGGAUCAUUACUGAGAUGGGGGUCCCCAACGGGGCCCGACCUCCAACCCUGUGUUUACCGACUCUGUUGCCUCGGCGGGCCGUCGAUGAAAGUCGCCGCGGGCCCUUCUCUUGGGUCUUCGUGCGCCCGCCGGUGGAAUACCAUCAAAACCCUUUCUAAAAUGCGAAUCUGAGUCUACACAAAAUAACUUCAAAA
RNAcentral lists this unclassified non-coding RNA (231 nucleotides) under plant metagenome. RNAcentral's name for it is "partial contains small subunit ribosomal RNA and internal transcribed spacer 1". The stretch from base 1 to 46 matches the Rfam family "Eukaryotic small subunit ribosomal RNA", at positions 1786 to 1831 of the family's 1831-position model. The record is from RNAcentral.